AAACAUUUCAAUCAUUGUCCCCCCUCCCCCUUCUCAUCUCCCUUUCAGUGUUUUCUUCCUGGAUUCUGAAGGAAGCCAUAUUUUGAAAUCUUGAAAUCCUUAGUACAAUGAAUUGUCCAUCCUCUGCUCAGGUCUAUUUUCAGGAUUUUGACCCUUCAUGGAGUUCUGAUGCCUUCUUAGAUUGAAAUAAAUGACAAGAUUUACAUGAGCUCUUCC
Gavialis gangeticus (Gharial) is the source of this 216-nucleotide long non-coding RNA. RefSeq lists it as uncharacterized. NCBI's taxonomy places the organism in Eukaryota, Metazoa, Chordata, Crocodylia, Gavialidae. The record is from RefSeq and is a predicted model, not a curated record. The transcript has 2 exons.